Molecule: long non-coding RNA, 258 nt
Organism: Salvelinus fontinalis (brook trout)
Lineage: Eukaryota; Metazoa; Chordata; Actinopteri; Salmoniformes; Salmonidae
Exons: 3
Source: RefSeq, a predicted model, not a curated record
GGUGGGGUUCAGGAUAUUGUGGUGUAGUUGUGGUGAGGUUCAGGGUGUAGUUGUGUUGUGGUGAGGUUCAGGGUGUAGUUGUGUAGUGGUGGGGUUCAGGGUAUUGUGGUGUAGUUGUGGUGGGGUUCAGGGUAUUGUGGUGUAGUUGUGGUGGGGUUCAGGGUAUUGUGGUGUAGUUGUGGUGGGGUUCAGGGUGUAGUUGUGUAGUGGUGGGGUUCAGGGUAUUGUGGUGUAGUUGUGGUGGGGUUCAGGGUGUAG